AAACUUCCGAAUGAUUUUACCAUUUAUUUUCCUGGGAGAGAGAUUCCAAAGUGGUUCAGCCAUCAAAGUAGGGGUCUUCGAUAUCAUUUCAGUUGCCGCCGCAUGGGUUUAACAACAGGUUCUUGGGAUGUGCUUUAGCCGCUGUUGGAUUCAAAAAGGGUAAAUCCGACCAUUUGUGUAUUGAAAUGCGCUGGAGGUGCCACGUUACUCAGAGGAUCAUCACACCAUUUUCUGUAGUGACGUUACCUACGAAUUUUGGAAAUAUUCUGGUUACGGUUAUCUCACGCGGCGCAUUUUCGCCAUUCACGGAAGAUUUUAUGGAGCAAUUAAACGAGGGUGGAAUUGAAUUUGAAGUUUCUUUUUGCUACCUCGAAUCCAAAGAAGUGGUCGAAAAGGUCGGUGUCCAUGUCAUGUACAAGGAAGCUGAAGAACAAGCAUUGAGUAGUAUAUACGACUCUCAAGAAGAUAACAACAACAUCAACAUGGGUGUGUUCCAUGGAGACUUGGACAGAUCAGCAGGAGUACAAGUUGGUAGCAGUAGUAGUAGUGCUACUACAUCAAAGAGAAGACGCGACGACGACCUCAAUGACGAUCACUACCAUGCAGCAGCAGCAGAAGCUAGUGGAAGUCCUGAAAUUCAUGAUCAAGAGGACCACCUCAACAGCAAAAGGCUUAGGUAUGGAUGACACUGGUACCACUAGUUCUCGUGAGAAGGAGAAACCUCAAAGGUUUUGGAAUCACCGUAAGGAACUCUUCCUCAUUACAACCGUGAAAGAUAUAACCGCAAGCAAUCCCAGGUGGAAGCUUGAUACUAAUCAGUUUAGGGCAGGCUUCUACAAUGAAUGUGAGAAGAAGAUCUUAAGUGCAUUUCCUAGAAUUGAUCUUCGAGCCAGUCCUCACAUCAACUCGAAGAUUAAGUUGUGGAAGAAAUAAUAUAACACUCUUCAAGAUAUGUUAAAGAUAAGUGGUUUUGGUUGGGAUGAUGAACAAAAGAUGGUGCUUGUUGUUAAUGAUGACGUAUGGCAAAACUAUGUCAGGAGGGUGUCGGAUGCAAAAGGGAUGUGAAACAGGCCAUUCCCGUUCUAUGAAAAUUGGCUUAUUCUAUUUGGGAAGGAUAGGGCGACUGGUGAACUCGCUGAGGAUCCUGCUGAUGCAGUUGCAACCAUGGAAAAUGAGGAUGCAAAUGCAACUACAGAAGAAGGAGAACAGUCUCUUGUUGAACAGUUUAGUAUGAACAUGGGUGAUAUGGACUACUCAAUGUCUACUGCAGGUAAUGUUCCCAAUUGUGAUGACUCUACUAAAUUGGGGAAAAAAAUGGGCUUGACCUGUUAAGGGGAUUCCCACUGAACUAUCAGAGAUGGCAAAAAAUCUUGGAUCAUUCAUUGAGAAUACUAAUACUACGAUGGUGGAGAUUGUUCAUAGGAUAGGAUAUUCACAUGACCUAUCCCAACAAAUGAGGUUGGUUAAUGCAGAACUUCUGAAGUUGUCAACGAGUAAUACCCAAAGAUUGUUGGCAGCAUCAAUGAUAGUAAAAGAUGAAGACAAAGUUGACUUGUUCUUCAGUUUAGAUGAGAAUGAUAAGAUGGAGUGGGUUUCUUUGCUAUUGGGAGGUCAUAUUUAAAUGUGACAUCUACUGUAUGAUGGCCUUUUUGUUUGUCACAUGAUUUAUAAUAUAUUUUGUGAUGCAUAAGUAUUAUAACGUAGGUAUUGUUUGCUGCUGCAAUCUGUUUAUCUGCUGCAAUAUAUUGUAUGAUGGUCUUUUGGUUGAGUUAAUGCUGCUCUUUGCUACUUCUGCAAUCUGUUUAUAUGUUGCUCCUGUGUUAGGCUAGUUAAGCCUAGUUUUUGUAGCUUGCAAUCUCUUUAUAUGUUGCU
Camellia sinensis is the source of this 1872-nucleotide non-coding RNA. The record is from RefSeq and is a predicted model, not a curated record. Lineage: Eukaryota; Viridiplantae; Streptophyta; Magnoliopsida; Ericales; Theaceae.